UAGCAGAGAUGCUUUGGUGCCUUCGGGAACUGUGAGACAGGUGCUGCAUGGCUGUCGUCAGCUCGUGUUGUGAAAUGUUGGGUUAAGUCCCGCAACGAGCGCAACCCUUAUCCUUUGUUGCCAGCGGUUAGGCCGGGAACUCAAAGGAGACUGCCAGUGAUAAACUGGAGGAAGGUGGGGAUGACGUCAAGUCAUCAUGGCCCUUACGACCAGGGCUACACACGUGCUACAAUGGCAUAUACAAAGAGAAGCGACCUC
Molecule: ribosomal RNA, 258 nt
Filed under: Klebsiella variicola
Lineage: Bacteria; Pseudomonadati; Pseudomonadota; Gammaproteobacteria; Enterobacterales; Enterobacteriaceae
Description: partial 16S ribosomal RNA
Rfam family: Bacterial small subunit ribosomal RNA
Source: RNAcentral